CAGCCGCCGCGGGAACACGUAGGGUGCGAGCGUUGUCCGGAAUUAUUGGGCGUAAAGGGCUCGCAGGCGGUUUCUUAAGUCUGAUGUGAAAGCCCCCGGCUCAACCGGGGAGGGUCAUUGGAAACUGGGAAACUUGAGUGCAGAGGAGGAGAGUGGAAUUCCACGUGUAGCGGUGAAAUGCGUAGAGAUGUGGAGGAACACCAGUGGCGAAGGCGACUCUCUGGUCUGUAACUGACGCUGAGGAGCGAAAGCGUGGGGAGCGAACAGGAUUAGAUACCCCCGUAGUCCCUGUCUCUUAUAC
Molecule: ribosomal RNA, 301 nt
Filed under: uncultured bacterium
Lineage: Bacteria
Description: partial 16S ribosomal RNA
Rfam family: Bacterial small subunit ribosomal RNA
Source: RNAcentral